GAUGAAGAACGCAGCGAAAUGCGAUACGUUAUGUGAAUUGCAGAUUUCAGUGAAUCAUCGAAUCUUUGAACGCACAUUGCGCCCGCCAGUAUUCUGGCGGGCAUGCCUGUUCGAGCGUCAUUUCAACCAUCAAGCCUUCGCUUGUGUUGGGGCCCCGCGGCUGCCGCGGUCCCCUAAAUCCAGUGGCGGGCUCGUCGUCGUACCGAGCGCAGUAGACAUCCUCGCUCCGGGAACCCGACGGGUGCCGGCCGUGAAACCCCCCACAUCAAGGUUGACCUCGGAUCAGGUAGGAAUACCCGCUGAACUUAAGCAUAUCAAUAAGCGGAGGA
This 329-nucleotide unclassified non-coding RNA is filed under the name soil metagenome. RNAcentral describes it as "partial contains 5.8S ribosomal RNA, internal transcribed spacer 2, and large subunit ribosomal RNA". The stretch from base 1 to 120 matches the Rfam family "5.8S ribosomal RNA", at positions 35 to 154 of the family's 154-position model. The record is from RNAcentral.